This 363-nucleotide transfer RNA is filed under the name uncultured Microcystis sp. RNAcentral describes it as "partial miscellaneous RNA". The stretch from base 135 to 208 matches the Rfam family "tRNA". The record is from RNAcentral. Lineage: Bacteria; Bacillati; Cyanobacteriota; Cyanophyceae; Chroococcales; Microcystaceae.
AAGGGAGACCUAAUUCAGGUAGGAGACGAAAAAAAAGUAGUCCCUACCAAGAAUCAAUCCCAAAAGGUCGGAGCGAGGCAAAAUUGGCUUUCAAACUAGGUUCUGGGUUCACACAAGACCUGAAUCAGGAACAAGGGCUAUUAGCUCAGGUGGUUAGAGCGCACCCCUGAUAAGGGUGAGGUCCCUGGUUCGAGUCCAGGAUGGCCCACCUGUACAGGUGGCAAAGACAAAGAAAAGAAGCGAGGAAUCAGCACCUUAUCUUACUUAUAUAGUAAGAGAGAAUGCUGGCUCUGAGUAAAGAGUCCAGAGGAACCUUGAAAACUGCAUAGAGCUAGGUGAAAAAGCCAAAAAAGAAGACCGCAA